This 322-nucleotide ribosomal RNA is filed under the name uncultured eukaryote. RNAcentral describes it as "partial 18S ribosomal RNA". It matches the Rfam family "Eukaryotic small subunit ribosomal RNA", at positions 1470 to 1796 of the family's 1831-position model. The record is from RNAcentral.
CCCUUAGAUGUUCUGGGCCGCACGCGUGCUACACUGACCGGCGCAACAAGUUUCUUUCCUUGGCUCGAUAGGCCUGGGUAAUCUUUGAACGCCGGUCGUGAUGGGGAUAGAUCCUUGCAAUUUUUGAUCUUCAACGAGGAAUUCCUAGUAAAUGCGAGUCAUCAUCUCGCGUUGAUUACGUCCCUGCCCUUUGUACACACCGCCCGUCGCACCUACCGAUUGAAUGGUCCGGUGAAAUCUCGGGACGGCGGCUUGGUCGCUUGCGUCCGACUGCUGAAACUUGAUUAAACCAUAUCAUUUAGAGGAAGGUGAANUCGUAACA